RNAcentral lists this ribosomal RNA (254 nucleotides) under uncultured bacterium. Its description in RNAcentral is "partial 16S ribosomal RNA". It matches the Rfam family "Bacterial small subunit ribosomal RNA", at positions 524 to 776 of the family's 1533-position model. The record is from RNAcentral.
UACGGAGGGUGCGAGCGUUGUCCGGAAUCAUUGGGCGUAAAGGGCGCGUAGGUGGCCUGGUCAGUCCGUGGUGAAAGCGCGGGGCUCAACCCUGCGUCGGCCAUGGAUACUGCUAUGGCUUGAGCACUGUAGAGGCAGGCGGAAUUCCGGGUGUAGCGGUGGAAUGCGUAGAGAUCCGGAAGAACACCGGUGGCGAAGGCGGCAUCCUGGACCGGUAUUGACGCUGAUGCGCGAAAGCGUGGGGAGCGAACAGG